GAGAGAGACCCAACUCAUACCCUGCCAUGCAGGCUGGGUGUGAGGAGUGAACAAGAUGCUUCUGAAGUGCUUGCAACAAUGAGGAGCCCAAAUAUUUUCUCUAUCUUUAUGCCUCAAGUGUGCAGGCAUGCUUCUAAACAGCGGUUUCACACCUCAAUCUUGUGACUGGAUUGUAUGUAUAUUCUUUGGAUAGUUAUUCAAGGUUGGUGACUUCCUGAAGACACCAGAGAGUCCAAUACAACUCACAGAGGGCCUCUGUAACUAUUUACUGAGAACAUCCUCAUAGCAUCUCCCCACCCCAGCCUGCCCAUCCUGUCACACAGCUCCCUUUAUUCUCUGCCACCUAUGACCUUUUAUGCUGCUCCAGUAUUUCCUUUGGUUUCCCACGGAUCAACACCUUUAAAGUGCAUUCUUGGUGUAUGGCUGCUUCCCAGUGGCUGUAGACAUGAAUCGCAUGAUGAAAUCUCUAAGCUGGAAGAUGUCACUACGCCCCCCUGCCCAGAAUAAAAGAUCAGAUUGAUGAGGAUCAAGCAUCUCAUCAUCUUGGUAUGUUGAAAUCUUAGGCAUCGUUUCAAGGCAUUUUUAAAGAGGACAAGACACACAUUCAAAGAAUAAGAGUAAAGAAGGGUGAGUAUUUUAGGGUGAAGAGGAAAUGGAUCUCUUCGAAUUUCUGCAACUCCCAGCACAGCUGCAGAGAGCAG
Molecule: long non-coding RNA, 701 nt
Filed under: Cricetulus griseus (Chinese hamster)
Lineage: Eukaryota; Metazoa; Chordata; Mammalia; Rodentia; Cricetidae
Description: lncRNA (ENSCGRG00015036090.1)
Source: RNAcentral